GGUUGUGUAGUGUAGUGGUUAUCACUUUGGAUUUUGAGCUGGAAAAACGACUCAUCUUCCAAAAACCCCGGUUCGAAUCCGGGCACGACCU
This 91-nucleotide transfer RNA is filed under the name Thermochaetoides thermophila DSM 1495. RNAcentral describes it as "Chaetomium thermophilum var. thermophilum DSM 1495 tRNA". It matches the Rfam family "tRNA". Rfam says of the family: Transfer RNA (tRNA) molecules are approximately 80 nucleotides in length. Their secondary structure includes four short double-helical elements and three loops (D, anti-codon, and T loops). The record is from Rfam by way of RNAcentral. Lineage: Eukaryota; Fungi; Ascomycota; Sordariomycetes; Sordariales; Chaetomiaceae.